This 772-nucleotide ribosomal RNA is filed under the name uncultured bacterium. RNAcentral describes it as "bacterial SSU rRNA". It matches the Rfam family "Bacterial small subunit ribosomal RNA", at positions 8 to 796 of the family's 1533-position model. The record is from RNAcentral.
AGAGUUUGAUCAUGGCUCAGAAUCAACGCUGGCGGCGUGCCUAACACAUGCAAGUCGCACGAGAAAGUGGAGCAAUCCAUGAGUAAAGUGGCGUACGGGUGAGUAACACGUGACUAACCUACCUUCGAGUGGGGAAUAACCUCGGGAAACCGGGGCUAAUACCGCAUAACAUCUUCUGGCUGAGAUGCCGGUUGAUCAAAGUAGCAAUGCGCUUGAAGAGGGGGUCGCGGCUGAUUAGCUAGUUGGUGGGGUAACGGCCCACCAAGGCGAUGAUCAGUAGCCGGCCUGAGAGGGCGCACGGCCACACUGGAACUGAAACACGGUCCAGACUCCUACGGGAGGCAGCAGUGGGGAAUUUUGCGCAAUGGGGGAAACCCUGACGCAGCAACGCCGCGUGGAGGAUGAAGUCCCUUGGGACGUAAACUCCUUUCGAUCGGGACGAUUAUGACGGUACCGGAAGAAGAAGCCCCGGCUAACUUCGUGCCAGCAGCCGCGGUAAUACGAGGGGGGCAAGCGUUGUUCGGAAUUAUUGGGCGUAAAGGGCGCGUAGGCGGUGCGGUAAGUCUGUUGUGAAAUCUCCGGGCUCAACUCGGAGUCUGCAUCAGAAACUGCCGUGCUUGAGUGUGGGAGAGGUGAGUGGAAUUCCCGGUGUAGCGGUGAAAUGCGUAGAUAUCGGGAAGAACACCUGUGGCGAAAGCGGCUCACUGGACCACAACUGACGCUGAUGCGCGAAAGCUAGGGGAGCAAACAGGAUUAGAUACCCNNGUAGUCC